CAAAAUUGCAGAGACAUGAACAUCACUGCUGAGAUCACUGAACGUCUCUACAAGUUCAACACUUUCACCACAUACAGAUACACUUCAGAUGG
Long non-coding RNA from Thalassophryne amazonica, 92 nucleotides. RefSeq lists it as uncharacterized. The record is from RefSeq and is a predicted model, not a curated record. The transcript has 3 exons. Lineage: Eukaryota; Metazoa; Chordata; Actinopteri; Batrachoidiformes; Batrachoididae.